This 1059-nucleotide ribosomal RNA is filed under the name Streptomyces sp. RNAcentral's name for it is "bacterial SSU rRNA". It matches the Rfam family "Bacterial small subunit ribosomal RNA", at positions 384 to 1445 of the family's 1533-position model. The record is from RNAcentral. Lineage: Bacteria; Bacillati; Actinomycetota; Actinomycetes; Kitasatosporales; Streptomycetaceae.
UGAUGCAGCGACGCCGCGUGAGGGAUGACGGCCUUCGGGUUGUAAACCUCUUUCAGCAGGGAAGAAGCGAAAGUGACGGUACCUGCAGAAGAAGCGCCGGCUAACUACGUGCCAGCAGCCGCGGUAAUACGUAGGGCGCAAGCGUUGUCCGGAAUUAUUGGGCGUAAAGAGCUCGUAGGCGGUCUGUCACGUCGGAUGUGAAAGCCCGGGGCUUAACCCCGGGUCUGCAUUCGAUACGGGCAGACUAGAGUGUGGUAGGGGAGAUCGGAAUUCCUGGUGUAGCGGUGAAAUGCGCAGAUAUCAGGAGGAACACCGGUGGCGAAGGCGGAUCUCUGGGCCAUUACUGACGCUGAGGAGCGAAAGCGUGGGGAGCGAACAGGAUUAGAUACCCUGGUAGUCCACGCCGUAAACGGUGGGAACUAGGUGUUGGCGACAUUCCACGUCGUCGGUGCCGCAGCUAACGCAUUAAGUUCCCCGCCUGGGGAGUACGGCCGCAAGGCUAAAACUCAAAGGAAUUGACGGGGGCCCGCACAAGCAGCGGAGCAUGUGGCUUAAUUCGACGCAACGCGAAGAACCUUACCAAGGCUUGACAUACACCGGAAACGGCCAGAGAUGGUCGCCCCCUUGUGGUCGGUGUACAGGUGGUGCAUGGCUGUCGUCAGCUCGUGUCGUGAGAUGUUGGGUUAAGUCCCGCAACGAGCGCAACCCUUGUUCUGUGUUGCCAGCAUGCCCUUCGGGGUGAUGGGGACUCACAGGAGACUGCCGGGGUCAACUCGGAGGAAGGUGGGGACGACGUCAAGUCAUCAUGCCCCUUAUGUCUUGGGCUGCACACGUGCUACAAUGGCCGGUACAAAGAGCUGCGAAACCGUGAGGUGGAGCGAAUCUCAAAAAGCCGGUCUCAGUUCGGAUUGGGGUCUGCAACUCGACCCCAUGAAGUCGGAGUUGCUAGUAAUCGCAGAUCAGCAUUGCUGCGGUGAAUACGUUCCCGGGCCUUGUACACACCGCCCGUCACGUCACGAAAGUCGGUAACACCCGAAGCCGGUGGCCCAACCCCUUGUG